RNAcentral lists this ribosomal RNA (494 nucleotides) under uncultured bacterium. RNAcentral describes it as "partial 16S ribosomal RNA". It matches the Rfam family "Bacterial small subunit ribosomal RNA", at positions 30 to 507 of the family's 1533-position model. The record is from RNAcentral.
AUUGAACGCUGGCGGCAUGCUUUACGCAUGCAAGUCGAACGGCAGCGGGGAGGAGCUUGCUUCUCUGCCGGCGAGUGGCGAACGGGUGAGUAAUACAUCGGAACGUGUCGAGAAGAGGGGGAUAACCACCCGAAAGGGUGGCUAAUACCGCAUAAAUUCUGAGGAAGAAAGCUGGGGACCUAGGAAUAGGCCUAGCGCUUUUUGAGCGGCCGAUGUCGGAUUAGCUAGUUGGUGAGGUAAAGGCUCACCAAGGCGAAGAUCUGUAGCGGGUCUGAGAGGAUGAUCCGCCACACUGGGACUGAGACACGGCCCAGACUCCUACGGGAGGCAGCAGUGGGGAAUUUUGGACAAUGGGGGCAACCCUGAUCCAGCCAUGCCGCGUGUAUGAAGAAGGCCUUAGGGUUGUAAAGUACUUUUGUUAGGGAAGAAAAGUCAGCUGUGAAUAAUGGCUGAUACUGACGGUACCUAAAGAAUAAGCACCGGCUAACUACGUG